UCACGGGAGGCUGCAGUGGGGAAUAUUGGACAAUGGGCGAAAGCCUGAUCCAGCCAUGCCGCGUGUGUGAAGAAGGCCUUCGGGUUGUAAAGCACUUUCAGUGGGGAAGAAAGCCUUGGGGCUAAUACCCUCGAGGAAGGACAUCACCCACAGAAGAAGCACCGGCUAACUCCGUGCCAGCAGCCGCGGUAAUACGGAGGGUGCGAGCGUUAAUCGGAAUUACUGGGCGUAAAGCGCGCGUAGGCGGUCUGAUAAGCCGGUUGUGAAAGCCCCGGGCUCAACCUGGGAACGGCAUCCGGAACUGUCAGGCUAGAGUGCAGGAGAGGAAGGUAGAAUUCCCGGUGUAGCGGUGAAAUGCGUAGAGAUCGGGAGGAAUACCAGUGGCGAAGGCGGCCUUCUGGACUGACACUGACGCUGAGGUGCGAAAGCGUGGGUAGCAAACAGGAUUAGAUACCCGGGUAGUC
Molecule: ribosomal RNA, 464 nt
Filed under: Vreelandella stevensii
Lineage: Bacteria; Pseudomonadati; Pseudomonadota; Gammaproteobacteria; Oceanospirillales; Halomonadaceae
Description: partial 16S ribosomal RNA
Rfam family: Bacterial small subunit ribosomal RNA
Source: RNAcentral